This 74-nucleotide transfer RNA is filed under the name Acetobacter sp. CAG:267. RNAcentral's name for it is "transfer RNA-Val(GAC)". It matches the Rfam family "tRNA". Rfam says of the family: Transfer RNA (tRNA) molecules are approximately 80 nucleotides in length. Their secondary structure includes four short double-helical elements and three loops (D, anti-codon, and T loops). RNAcentral also lists the same sequence under 1 other name. Lineage: Bacteria; Pseudomonadati; Pseudomonadota; Alphaproteobacteria; Acetobacterales; Acetobacteraceae. The record is from RNAcentral.
GGACCGUUAGUUUAAAAGUAGAACGCAUCCUUGACAUGGAUGUAGCAGAGGAGCGUUACCUCUACGGUCCACCA